Long non-coding RNA from Ictalurus punctatus (channel catfish), 553 nucleotides. Lineage: Eukaryota; Metazoa; Chordata; Actinopteri; Siluriformes; Ictaluridae. The record is from Ensembl.
GUUCAGGAACAGUUUGAGGAACAUGACAAAGAGUUCGAAGUGUUGACUUGGCCUCAAUUCAUAAGAUCUCAAUCCGAUCCUGCAUCUGUGGGACGUGCUGGAGAAACAAGUCCGAUCCAUGGAGGCCCCACUUCGCGACUUACAGGACUUAAAGGAUCUGCUGCUAACGUCUUGGUGCCAGAUACCCCAGCACAUCUUCAGAGGUCUUGUGGAGUCCAUGCCUCGACGGGUCCGAGGUGUUCUGGAAGCACGAUGGAGACCAACACAAUAUCAGCCUUGCUCAGGUCGUGCUCUCUGACCGGUGAGGCCCAGCCCCCUGCAAUGCAUCAUGUUCUGGCAGCUGGUUUGUCACUGGAAGAUCUCGAAUCGCACGCACCUGGCAUCUGUCCCCUGCUUUGUGAUUUGUUGAUCGAGGCCAUUUACGUUUAAUCCAUUUUGAGCUUUCUGAUGUCUGGCAUUCGCAACAAGAACAACAACAGUGAUAGAAAGACGCAUUAAGGCUGGCGAGGGAUGGAUAAUACUGUCCGUCCUCACCAUAUCAAUAUUCCUCUUG